ACCAGUACUAACAGAAGCUGCAGAAUCAAGUGCUAUUGGUCCUGCUAUUUACACUAAAAUGGGUAACCCCAGUGUGAGUGACGGCGAAGUCCUUUCAAACCCAGAGGUUAAAAUCUUACUUCCUUUCUUACACUCCUUUUCAUCUUUGCUUCGGUGUAAAAUCUGCAUGACUUAUUAUGCCAUUGUUGAACUGCUCUCUGACCUCAUUAACAUUCUUAUCUCCCAGAAAAAAAAAAAUGUUACAAGAGACCUGUCUGGUUAUUAUCUCUGCCACCUAAGACUUAAAGCUUCACUAUAAUUUCCAAAUACAUCUACCUUGAAAUAUCUAAGCUUACGUGUCUCAGCUACUUCCCCAAGUAUGCUGAAUUCUAACGGUAGAGAUUCACUAAACCUAUUUUCUUUUUCACACUUCAUAAUCCCUGGUACAGGAAAUGGCUCAAAGCACUAAAUUCGAUUUGUUUUUCAAAAAACAACAAAGCCAUAAAAUUCUAGAACAGUAACACUCAAUCUUAGGAUAUACAACAGGAUACAGCUACAGAUAAGAGCUCUUGGUUUAUUCCGGUGUUUCAAUAGCUACAGAUGCUGUUGCAAAAUGAGGCAAGAGUGAGUUCUGCCAAGAGCAAUGUCCAUCAUGCAAAAUGCCUACUACCUAGGAGCUUUCAGAAGAAAUAAUCUAGGAAGUGUCAUCACUCCAGGCCACGGUGGCAUUCGUGAAUGGGAAACAAUGUUUGGAAAGUGUGCCGUUUUGACAUCAGUGUGGCUCUGGCAACGUUGGAUGGAUGAGAUGAGUAGGAAUCAGUGUGAAGUCCGCAUUACAACAUGCUUGGAUUCAGUUAUGCCAAUGGUAAUGGAAAGAAAGAGGAAAGAUUUCAGAGAAGUAUGCAAAGAAAAAAAAGAAACAAAUUGUCAAUAGAUAGAAUAAAAGAAAAGAUAAAAUCUAAAAAUGUUCUUGAUGUUUCAUGCCUGCGUGACUGAAAAAAAAAGUGCUACUAUUUAGAAGUAUGCAGAUAUCAUUAAGAACAUUUGGGGGCAAAAAG
RNAcentral lists this long non-coding RNA (1037 nucleotides) under Pan troglodytes (chimpanzee). RNAcentral's name for it is "lncRNA (ENSPTRG00000053425.1)". Lineage: Eukaryota; Metazoa; Chordata; Mammalia; Primates; Hominidae. The record is from RNAcentral.